GUCUUUUUGAUUAUAAUUUAAAGUCUAAUCUGCCCACUGAUAAUAUUAAAGGGCUGCAGUAUAAUGACUGUACAAAGGUAGCAUAAUCAAUAGUUUUUUAAUUGGAAACUUGUAUGAAGGAUUUGAUGAAAUAUUAACUGUCUCUUAUUUAUUUUUAGAAAUUUAUUUUUUAGUAAAAAAGCUAAAAUAAUUUUAAAAGACGAGAAGACCCUAUAGAGUUUUAUAUUUAAUUUUAUUUUAAAAUUAUAUUAAAAUUUUUAUUAAAAUAAAAUUAAAUAUUAUAUUGGGGUGAUAGAAAAAUUUAAUAAACUUUUUUUAAAAAUUAAACAUAAAUAAAUGAUUGAAUGAUCCAUUAAUAAUGAUUAUAAGAAAAAAUUACCUUAGGGAUAACAGCGUAAUAUUUUUUUUUAGUACGUAUAAAAAAAAAAGUUUGCGACCUCGAUGUUGGAUUAAGAUAAAAUUUAAAUGCAAAAGUUUAAAAUUUUGAUCUGUUCGAUCAUUAAAAUCUU
Molecule: ribosomal RNA, 509 nt
Filed under: Pseudochazara hippolyte
Lineage: Eukaryota; Metazoa; Arthropoda; Insecta; Lepidoptera; Nymphalidae
Description: partial 16S ribosomal RNA
Source: RNAcentral